AUUGGGCUGAACAGACCAUUGAUUUGAUUUCCUGCUAUAUUUCUCCUCUUUAAGGUUUAGAAAGCCAGUGUAACGUGUUUUACAACGGACCAAGGCCUGAAGAACCUGGAGUGCAAUUAAGGGCCCUCAGAUCCAGCCUCAACUGGCAGUCUGCUCGUGUUAUAACAGUUCAUAAGAAAUUCAAGUUCAAACCAGAGUUCCUACUCUGGAACCUCAUGGGCCUUGGGAAGGCUCUGUCAGGUAAGAAAUUUUUCUUGUAUAAAAUUGGGAAUAAGAAUCACCUAGUUGGAAAAGUUCAGAAAUGAGACCAUUUCUUAUAAGAAAGAUGAUGGUAACUUUUACUGUUUCUUUUCUGGAGGGCACAGAGGAAAUCCUGGGCUGCAAGUAGUGCAGAACUCAAAUUUUUAAAGACUUAACGUUCCCUAAGCAGAAGUGGUACACCUUGUUAAGGAAGAAGAGGCAGUUCUGAGAGGAGCUUGUUGUGAGCAGGUCUUUCCAAGGAUCUCUUUCUGAGGCCAUGUGCUUUCGUGCUUUGCUAGAGAGGUCUUAUGCUCCUCCAGGCUCUGGUUUAAACCAUGCUUUGGCAACUUUCUCUUUGCUUCAUUAUUGGCGUUAUCUUACAUCUCUACAGCAGAGCCUGUAAGGUAGUACUUUACAUGACCUUGAUGUUUUCUCACUACCAACAGCAAC
RNAcentral lists this long non-coding RNA (690 nucleotides) under Gallus gallus (chicken). RNAcentral describes it as "lncRNA (ENSGALG00010001602.1)". The record is from RNAcentral. Lineage: Eukaryota; Metazoa; Chordata; Aves; Galliformes; Phasianidae.